Molecule: long non-coding RNA, 583 nt
Organism: Brassica napus (rape)
Lineage: Eukaryota; Viridiplantae; Streptophyta; Magnoliopsida; Brassicales; Brassicaceae
Exons: 2
Source: RefSeq, a predicted model, not a curated record
GGUACCAUAAAAGCGGUAAACCUGAAAUUCACCCAAAUGUUUAACUUGCCUUCUUCUUCUUCUUCUCCAAUUUGAGAUUUGAUCCAAUCCGUAGCCUAAGGAGAAACGAAAAGGGGAAACUGCGACAAAUCAAAGAAGGUGGUCCAUGGCUGAUUUACAGCUAAAGAAAAGAGGAUACAUCUAGGCAAUCUCUGUUGGGUUCAAUGCAGCUCUUGCUGCCGUCUCUGCGAAGUUUUUCUCACUAUCGUAAUGAAAAUCUUAACUACUAAAUAUAUCCCAUUUUCAUUUGUGUAACUUUUUUUUUCCAUGAGAGGGGUUUAAUAGUUUUGUUGCAAUUGAUUAAUUUAAUUUUGGAAAUUUUUAAUGUUUAACAGGUGAUAGAGUAUGGAUUAGUUGUAUUAUGUAAUGUGGUAAUGUGGGGAUGUUAUGUAAACAGCUUAAGAUCUCUCUCUUCUCUACAUGCUAUCAUCACUAACUUUGCUGCUAAUUUCCUCUCUUCCGGUUUCGCGGGCCUCCUUUUGUUUCACGAGUCCUUAUCCAUUCCGUGUAAAUUUUUUAAAUCUUGAAAACAAUGUGUCUUAUG